AACGAACGCUGGCGGCAUGCCUAACACAUGCAAGUCGAACGAUCCCUUCGGGGAUAGUGGCGCACGGGUGCGUAACGCGUGGGAACCUGCCCUUAGGUUCGGAAUAACUCAGAGAAAUUUGAGCUAAUACCGGAUAAUGUCUUCGGACCAAAGAUUUAUCGCCUUUGGAUGGGCCCGCGUUGGAUUGGCUAGUUGGUGGGGUAAAGGCCUACCAAGGCGACGAUCCAUAGCUGGUCUGAGAGGAUGAUCAGCCACACUGGGACUGAGGCACGGCCCAGACUCCUACGGGAGGCAGCAGUGGGGAAUAUUGGACAAUGAGCGAAAGCCUGAUACAGCAAUGCCGCGUGAGUGAUGAAGGCCUUAGGGUUGUAAAGCUCUUUUACCCGGGAUGAUAAUGACAGUACCGGGAGAAUAAGCCCCGGCUAACUCCGUG
Molecule: ribosomal RNA, 433 nt
Filed under: uncultured bacterium
Lineage: Bacteria
Description: partial 16S ribosomal RNA
Rfam family: Bacterial small subunit ribosomal RNA
Source: RNAcentral